RNAcentral lists this ribosomal RNA (328 nucleotides) under uncultured bacterium. RNAcentral describes it as "bacterial SSU rRNA". It matches the Rfam family "Bacterial small subunit ribosomal RNA", at positions 97 to 425 of the family's 1533-position model. The record is from RNAcentral.
GGCGGACGGGUGAGUAACGCGUGAGUAACCUGCCUCUAAGAGGGGAAUAACAUUCUGAAAAGAAUGCUAAUACCGCAUAACAUAUAUUUAUCGCAUGGUAGAUAUAUCAAAGAUUUAUCGCUUAGAGAUGGACUCGCGUCCGAUUAGUUAGUUGGUGAGGUAACGGCUCACCAAGACCGCGAUCGGUAGCCGGACUGAGAGGUUGAACGGCCACAUUGGGACUGAGACACGGCCCAGACUCCUAUGGGAGGCAGCAGUGGGGGAUAUUGCGCAAUGGGGGAAACCCUGACGCAGCAACGCCGCGUGAAGGAUGAAGGUCUUCGGAUUG